GUGAUUAAAUCGAGCGUGUCUUCAUUGACCGCUCACCCUUCUCACCACCCACAUACACCUGUGCACUGUUUAGCCUGAGCCGGUUUUCCGGUCCAGGUUAUCAUUUCAUACAAACUCUAGUCUUAUGAAUGUAAACGUUUUAAUAACAUAAUA
RNAcentral lists this unclassified non-coding RNA (153 nucleotides) under soil metagenome. RNAcentral describes it as "partial internal transcribed spacer 1". The record is from RNAcentral.